UAGAGUUUGAUCCCGGCUCAGAUUGAACGCUGGCGGCAGGCCUAACACAUGCAAGUCGAGCGGUAACAGAAAAGAAGCUUGCUUCUUUUGCUGACGAGCGGCGGACGGGUGAGUAAUGCCUGGGAAUAUACCCUGAUGUGGGGGAUAACUAUUGGAAACGAUAGCUAAUACCGCAUAAUCUCUUCGGAGCAAAGAGGGGGACCUUCGGGCCUCUCGCGUCAGGAUUAGCCCAGGUGGGAUUAGCUAGUUGGUGGGGUAAUGGCUCACCAAGGCGACGAUCCCUAGCUGGUCUGAGAGGAUGAUCAGCCACACUGGAACUGAGACACGGUCCAGACUCCUACGGGAGGCAGCAGUGGGGAGUAUUGCGCAAUGGGGGAAACCCUGAUGCAGCCAUGCCGCGUGUAUGAAGAAGGCCUUCGGGUUGUAAAGUACUUUCAGUUGUGAGGAAGGCGUUGAAGUUAAUAGCUUCAGCGCUUGACGUUAGCAACAGAAGAAGCACCGGCUAACUCCGUGCCAGCAGCCGCGGUAAUACGGAGGGUGCGAGCGUUAAUCGGAAUUACUGGGCGUAAAGCGCAUGCAGGCGGUCUGUUAAGCAAGAUGUGAAAGCCCGGGGCUCAACCUCGGAACAGCAUUUUGAACUGGCAGACUAGAGUCCUGUAGAGGGGGGUAGAAUUUCA
This 677-nucleotide ribosomal RNA is filed under the name uncultured Vibrionaceae bacterium. RNAcentral describes it as "bacterial SSU rRNA". It matches the Rfam family "Bacterial small subunit ribosomal RNA", at positions 1 to 671 of the family's 1533-position model. Lineage: Bacteria; Pseudomonadati; Pseudomonadota; Gammaproteobacteria; Vibrionales; Vibrionaceae. The record is from RNAcentral.